This 250-nucleotide ribosomal RNA is filed under the name uncultured bacterium. RNAcentral's name for it is "partial 16S ribosomal RNA". It matches the Rfam family "Bacterial small subunit ribosomal RNA", at positions 355 to 621 of the family's 1533-position model. The record is from RNAcentral.
UCGGGAAUAUUGGGCAAUGGGCGAAAGCCUGACCCAGCAACGCCGCGUGCACGAUGAAGGCCUUCGGGUCGUAAAGUGCUUUUUGGGAGGAUGAGGAAGGACAGUACUCCCAGAAUAAGUCACGGCUAACUACGUGCCAGCAGCCGCGGUAAAACGUAGGUGACGAGCGUUAUCCGGAAUUACUGGGCGUAAAGCGCGUGCAGGCGGCUCAGCAAGUCGGGCAUGAAAUCUCCUAGCCUAACUGGGAGAC